AGUGGUUGAAGUAAGGUAGGCUCCUUGCGGAGCCAAUCAGAAUGGUCUUGAAAACCGUUGUGCCGUAAGGUACCGGGGGUUCGAAUCCCCCUUGAA
This 96-nucleotide transfer RNA is filed under the name Treponema primitia ZAS-2. Its description in RNAcentral is "tRNA-Und (NNN) (tRNA-Und-NNN-1-1)". Lineage: Bacteria; Pseudomonadati; Spirochaetota; Spirochaetia; Treponematales; Treponemataceae. The record is from RNAcentral.